Condylostylus longicornis is the source of this 1693-nucleotide long non-coding RNA. RefSeq lists it as uncharacterized. The transcript is spliced from 2 exons. NCBI's taxonomy places the organism in Eukaryota, Metazoa, Arthropoda, Insecta, Diptera, Dolichopodidae. The record is from RefSeq and is a predicted model, not a curated record.
AGUCGAAUCGUGAAUAUUAAAUAAAUAUAAAAACUCUUCAUUCUAUCAUUGUUUUUCAUGAACAAAAACAACAUUUUACAUAAGAAUUUAGUGAAAUAAUAAAUUUAAAAAAAUAUAUUUGAAAAAAAAAAACAAAGAAUAUAUAAAUGCAACAUAGAUAACAAUUUAAUAAAUAAAAAUACUUAUUAAAAAAAAUUUAAUUCAUGUAUCAAAUGUAUUAAUAAAAUUUACAAUAAUUAUUAAUUUAAAAAAAUAACAGUGGAACAACCAAGUCGCAACAUAUAAAAAAAAAACAGCACACAAUAUUAUUAAAAAAAAAAACUAUAAGUAAUAAAACGAUUUUUAUUAAAACUCCUUAUUGAUUAUUUAAUUAAAAAAAAUAUAUUAAAGAUAAUAAAAAAAAACUGCUUAGAUAAAAAAGAAAAAAAAAAAUGGAAACAUAAGACAAAAAUAUUAGGAAUCAUAAAUGCUGUGAAUCUAUUACCAAAAUCUUUUAAUAGCGAAAUAAAUUACAUAAAAAAAAAUAAAAAUUUAAAUUAAAAAAAAAAAACCAGUAAAAAAAUUAUAUGUAAAAUAUUUUAAUUUUGAAAUUUGAAAUUAAACAUUUAAAAUAAAUAUCUUAAAAAACUAUAAAAUAGAAAAUAUUAAUGAAUUAAAAGUAUAAUUAAUAAUAUAAGAAAUUGAACAAUUGUUGUAACUGCUACAAUAUAUAUAUAUAUAUAAAUUUUAAUUAGUAUAUGUGUACAAAAAUAUUCCUUAAUUAUAAAACUAAAUUGAAAUAAAUAAAAUUAAAAAUAAAUAGAAAAAAAGUACAAAAUAUUAAAGCAAAUACCAGAAUUUUGCAUUCUGAAUGCAAACAAAAAUCAAUAGAAACUGCAGACAUUAAGUAAAAAAAAAUAAAUAACUUAAAGACUUCUACAAUAAAAUUAAAAAAGAAAAAAAAAAGAAAAAAAACAAGAAACAAAAUAAUUUUUUUAAAAAAUUAUUUUUUACAUUAUUAAAAAUUAAACAAAUAAAUUAAAAUAAAGCGUGUGUUACUAUUAGUUAAACAAAAUAAACAAAAAAAUUAAAAAAUAUUUAAGUUUAAAAUUUAAACAGUAAAAAAAAAGAAAAAAGCAUUUUUAAGAAAUUAAUAAUACUUUUACAGCUUUACAAAAAAAAAAAAAUAAUUAAAAAAAAAAUACAAAAAAAAAACAUGAAAAAGUAUAUUCUAUAUUAUUAAAAAUUAAAAUUGAUAAGAAAAUCUACACCUGUGAUAAUAUUGUAAUUUCAUUUUUUUUAUUUCUAAUUUGUAAUUAUUAAAAAAAUAUAAUAAAAACAAGGAAUACUGCAAAAAAAAAUUAAAAAUUUAAAAAAGUAUAUAUAUAUACAUAACAUAUAAAUUAUAUAUAAUUAUAUAUUAUUAGAAGAACACAUAUUUAAGAAAAGGAAACCAAUCACGUGAUAUUAUAAAGGACUUCAAAGUACAUUUUAUAAGUAAAGAAAAGACUUGGAAAUGUAACCUUUAAAAUUAUUUAAAUAAAAAAAAAUAAAAAUAAAAUAAUAUUAAUUAUAUUAUGUAUAACAAUUAUAAUAAUUAAAAAAUUAAAAUAAAAAAAAAUACAAAAAAGAAAAAAAAUAUUAAUAAAUAAAAAAACGCAAGAACAAAAAUUAUAAUUUAAAAAAAAACAAAAAAUCUAUAUUAUAUUAAAAA